RNAcentral lists this ribosomal RNA (1431 nucleotides) under metagenome. RNAcentral's name for it is "bacterial SSU rRNA". It matches the Rfam family "Bacterial small subunit ribosomal RNA". The record is from RNAcentral.
AAAGUCGAGGGGUAACAGGUGUAGCAAUACAUGCUGACGACCGGCGCACGGGUGCGUAACACGUAUAUAAUCUACCUUUUACUGGAGAAUAGCCCGAAGAAAUUCGGAUUAAUACUCCAUAAUAAUAUUGAGGGGCAUCUCUUGAUAUUUAAAGUUCAGACGGUAAAAGAUGAGUAUGCGCGAUAUUAGCUAGUUGGUGAGGUAACGGCUCACCAAGGCGACGAUAUCUAGGGGUACUGAGAGGUUACACCCCCACACUGGUACUGAGACACGGACCAGACUCCUACGGGAGGCAGCAGUAAGGAAUAUUGGACAAUGGUCGCAAGACUGAUCCAGCCAUGCCGCGUGCAGGAUGACUGCCCUAUGGGUUGUAAACUGCUUUUAUACGGGAAUAAACCCGGGUACGUGUACCCGGCUGAAUGUACUGUAAGAAUAAGGGUCGGCUAACUUCGUGCCAGCAGCCGCGGUAAGACGAAGGACCCAAGCGUUAUCCGGAUUCAUUGGGUUUAAAGGGUGCGUAGGCGGGUUGAUAAGUCAGUGGUGAAAGCCCAACGCUUAACGUUGGAACUGCCAUUGAUACUGUCGAUCUUGAAUGUGUUUGAUGUGGGCGGAAUAUGACAUGUAGCGGUGAAAUGCUUAGAUAUGUCAUAGAACACCGAUUGCGAAGGCAGCUCACAAAGCCACUAUUGACGCUGAGGCACGAAAGCGUGGGGAUCAAACAGGAUUAGAUACCCUGGUAGUCCACGCCGUAAACUUUGAUCACUCGCUGUUGGCGAUACACUGUCAGCGGCUAAGCGAAAGCGUUAAGUGAUCCACCUGGGGAGUACGGUCGCAAGACUGAAACUCAAAGGAAUUGACGGGGGCCCGCACAAGCGGUGGAGCAUGUGGUUUAAUUCGGUGAUACGCGAGGAACCUUACCAGGGCUUGAAAGUUAGCGACUUACCGUGAAAGCGGUGAUCCCUUCGGGGCGCGAAACUAGGUGCUGCAUGGCUGUCGUCAGCUCGUGCCGUGAGGUGUUGGGCUAAGUCCCGCAACGAGCGCAACCCCUACUUCUAGUUGCCAACAGGUAAUGCUGGGGACUCUAGAGGAACUGCCCGCGCAAGCGGUGAGGAAGGUGGGGACGACGUCAAGUCAUCACGGCCCUUACGUCCUGGGCUACACACGUGCUACAAUGGCGGAGACAACGGGCAGCUACACUGCGAAGUGAUGCUAAUCUCUAAACUCCGUCUCAGUUCGGAUUGAAGUCUGCAACUCGACUUCAUGAAGCUGGAAUCGCUAGUAAUCGCGUAUCAGCAAUGACGCGGUGAAUACGUUCCCGGGCCUUGUACACACCGCCCGUCAAACAAUGGAAGCUGGGAGUACCUAAAGUCAGUAGUCGCAAGACGCUGCCUAGGGUAAAACCGGUAACUGGUGUUAAGUCGAAACAAGGUA